CACGCCGUAAACGCUGAAUGCUAAGCAUUGGGAGUAUCGACCCUCUCAGUGCUGUUAAUUUAAGGUAACCCGUUAAGCAUUCCGCCUGGGGAGUACGAGCGCAAGCUUAAAACUCAAAGGAAUAGACGGGGACCCGCACAAGCGGUGGAGCAUGUGGUUUAAUUCGACGAUAAGCGAGGAACCUCACCAAGGUUUGACAUGUAGCUGCAAGGUCUGGAAACAGAUCCGCCUUCGAGGGUGCUACACAGAUGC
This 252-nucleotide ribosomal RNA is filed under the name uncultured Parcubacteria group bacterium. RNAcentral's name for it is "partial 16S ribosomal RNA". It matches the Rfam family "Bacterial small subunit ribosomal RNA", at positions 796 to 1041 of the family's 1533-position model. The record is from RNAcentral.